GCCCAUCUCCGUACAAACAGCCACCACCACAACCUCCGUCUACACCAUCAUCUUCCGAUAAACGGAUUGAGCAGCAACAAGCAGAGGAUUGGCCGACGCGGUUUCAACAUCCUCCUCCACAAUUCAGACGCGGUGAGUGUUAUUUUUUUCAUUUAAAAAUUUUCUAAGUAAUAUUUUUAGGGCAGGAUCCAAUGCCAGCCUCAAUAGAGCUCCAGCAUAAGACCGCCAAUCAAACGAUGCCAGUUGAUAUUGUACAGACGAAUCAGCAGAAAACUGUGUCAUCUUAUGAGAGGGCUGCACAGUUUAGAGGUUGGUUCAAGUCAUAAGCUCUACUUUAUGUUUUAUUCAAUUACUUUUUUCAGCUUCUGCAAGUGAACUACCAACGGACAGUGUCGAUGCAAAACACCCGUGUUUCGCUAACGAGCGUAUGCAAAGUGCUUUAAUCGG
RNAcentral lists this small RNA (447 nucleotides) under Caenorhabditis elegans. Its description in RNAcentral is "Unclassified non-coding RNA ZC308.7". Lineage: Eukaryota; Metazoa; Nematoda; Chromadorea; Rhabditida; Rhabditidae. The record is from RNAcentral.